GCAUUUCCGAGCCAAAAGUAUAAACGGUUUUCGUUGGAAAAUAUCACAAAACAAAUAGUUAGGACGAUUCCGACGAUUCCGUUUUAACCGGAACCGCUUUAUUCAGCAGCCAGCGGCG
This 118-nucleotide unclassified non-coding RNA is filed under the name Brucella sp. 191011898. RNAcentral describes it as "BASRCI153". The record is from RNAcentral. Lineage: Bacteria; Pseudomonadati; Pseudomonadota; Alphaproteobacteria; Hyphomicrobiales; Brucellaceae.